GUCGGGAUAGCUCAGCUGGUAAAGCAAAGGACUGAAAAUCCUCGUUU
This 47-nucleotide transfer RNA is filed under the name Desmanthus bicornutus. RNAcentral's name for it is "partial tRNA-Phe". Lineage: Eukaryota; Viridiplantae; Streptophyta; Magnoliopsida; Fabales; Fabaceae. The record is from RNAcentral.